RNAcentral lists this long non-coding RNA (306 nucleotides) under Lathyrus oleraceus (garden pea). RNAcentral describes it as "Pisum sativum (pea) long non-coding RNA (PSAT_LNC018014)". The record is from RNAcentral. Lineage: Eukaryota; Viridiplantae; Streptophyta; Magnoliopsida; Fabales; Fabaceae.
GAUGCUGAGGAUAAUGAGGCUACCGGUUCUGAGGCCGGUAGCGAGGAGGAUUCUGAGCCCUUAGAGGGUUAAGUUUUUGUAUUUUUCAUUUUUAUGUUUAUUUCUAUUGUAGUUUCGGAUUCUGUAUUUUGACUUUGGUUUUGUACUGUUGGGGUGUUUUGUCCCCCAUGAACAAUUUAAAUUUUCAGUAAUGUUAUUUAUUUAUGUUUUUAAUUUUGUUUGUUUAAUAAAUUUUUGGUUGGUUAAGUGGCAAACCUUCUAGAUUGGUUGCUCCUCAAAGAAGUACCCAAUGAAGGUGCAUCCGAG